UACGUAGGGGGCUAGCGUUGUCCGGAAUCAUUGGGCGUAAAGCGCGUGUAGGCGGUCCGGUAAGUCCGCCGUGAAAGUCGGGGGCUCAACCCUCGAAUGCCGGUGGAUACUGUCGGGCUAGAGUACGGAAGAGGUGAGUGGAAUUCCUGGUGUAGCGGUGAAAUGCGCAGAUAUCAGGAGGAACACCGGUGGCGAAGGCGCCACUCUGGGCCGGUACUGACGCUGAGGAGCGAAAGCGUGGGGAGCGAACAGG
RNAcentral lists this ribosomal RNA (253 nucleotides) under uncultured bacterium. RNAcentral's name for it is "partial 16S ribosomal RNA". It matches the Rfam family "Bacterial small subunit ribosomal RNA", at positions 524 to 776 of the family's 1533-position model. The record is from RNAcentral.